RNAcentral lists this ribosomal RNA (375 nucleotides) under uncultured bacterium. Its description in RNAcentral is "bacterial SSU rRNA". It matches the Rfam family "Bacterial small subunit ribosomal RNA", at positions 524 to 898 of the family's 1533-position model. The record is from RNAcentral.
UACGGAGGGUGCAAGCGUUAAUCGGAAUUACUGGGCGUAAAGCGCACGCAGGCGGUCUGUCAAGUCGGAUGUGAAAUCCCCGGGCUCAACCUGGGAACUGCAUCCGAAACUGGCAGGCUAGAGUCUUGUAGAGGGGGGUAGAAUUCCAGGUGUAGCGGUGAAAUGCGUAGAGAUCUGGAGGAAUACCGGUGGCGAAGGCGGCCCCCUGGACAAAGACUGACGCUCAGGUGCGAAAGCGUGGGGAGCAAACAGGAUUAGAUACCCUGGUAGUCCACGCCGUAAACGAUGUCGAAGUGGAGGUUGGGCCCUUGAGGCGUGGCUUCCGGAGCUAACGCGUUAAGUAGACCGCCUGGGGAGUACGGCCGCAAGGGUAAA